RNAcentral lists this ribosomal RNA (253 nucleotides) under uncultured bacterium. RNAcentral describes it as "partial 16S ribosomal RNA". It matches the Rfam family "Bacterial small subunit ribosomal RNA", at positions 524 to 776 of the family's 1533-position model. The record is from RNAcentral.
GACGAAGGGGGCUAGCGUUGUUCGGAAUCACUGGGCGUAAAGCGCACGCAGGCGGAUUGAUAAGUCGGGGGUGAAAUCCCGGGGCUCAACCUCGGAAUUGCCUUCGAUGCUGUCUGUCUUGAGUCCGGGAGAGGUGAGUGGAAUUCCUAGUGUAGAGGUGAAAUUCGUAGAUAUUAGGAAGAACACCAGUGGCGAAGGCGGCUCACUGGCCCGGUACUGACGCUCAUGUGCGAAAGCGUGGGGAGCAAACAGG